GGGCUAUCAACUAAAUGUUAUAACUUCUGUGGACUCAUUCUCACAGAAAUAGAAUUCUUUGGAAGGAGAUGGAACCUCAGAUGCCAUCUAGUCCCACCCAGACUUGGAUGAGAAUCCAUUUUACCAACAGUCCCCACAAGUGGACAUAGAGAAUGCGAGGGAGGAAGAGCUCAUUUCAUGUGCAGACAUGAAAUCCUUGGGUAUUAGGACUUUUUUUUUUCCAUAUUAAGCCCCAACCUACCAUGCUUACAAAUUUGUCCUUUCCUUCUUUCUGUCAGAAUGCCAACAUUGAAACCUGGAAAGACUUAUAUGAACGGAUGCAAAGGGAAGUCAGCAGAACCAGGAGAACAUUGCACAUGUCAUCAAAGUCCAGUGGCAAGACAAAAGUCAAGAUGAUCUGUGAUGGCUCAGGAGAGUCUGUAUGAAGGUAUGAAUGAACUCAAUAAGUCCAGAAGUCAAUCCAUCAAUGAGUAGUUAUUAAACACCUCUUGUGCCUCAGACAGUGUGCUAAGUAUAUAAAAAUAAAUAAUGAAAGAGUAGCUGUAGCA
Molecule: long non-coding RNA, 548 nt
Filed under: Monodelphis domestica (gray short-tailed opossum)
Lineage: Eukaryota; Metazoa; Chordata; Mammalia; Didelphimorphia; Didelphidae
Description: lncRNA (ENSMODG00000034684.2)
Source: RNAcentral